This 1439-nucleotide ribosomal RNA is filed under the name Lactiplantibacillus plantarum. RNAcentral describes it as "bacterial SSU rRNA". It matches the Rfam family "Bacterial small subunit ribosomal RNA". Lineage: Bacteria; Bacillati; Bacillota; Bacilli; Lactobacillales; Lactobacillaceae. The record is from RNAcentral.
CUAUAAUGCAGUCGACGAACUCUGGUAUUGAUUGGUGCUUGCAUCAUGAUUUACAUUUGAGUGAGUGGCGAACUGGUGAGUAACACGUGGGAAACCUGCCCAGAAGCGGGGGAUAACACCUGGAAACAGAUGCUAAUACCGCAUAACAACUUGGACCGCAUGGUCCGAGCUUGAAAGAUGGCUUCGGCUAUCACUUUUGGAUGGUCCCGCGGCGUAUUAGCUAGAUGGUGGGGUAACGGCUCACCAUGGCAAUGAUACGUAGCCGACCUGAGAGGGUAAUCGGCCACAUUGGGACUGAGACACGGCCCAAACUCCUACGGGAGGCAGCAGUAGGGAAUCUUCCACAAUGGACGAAAGUCUGAUGGAGCAACGCCGCGUGAGUGAAGAAGGGUUUCGGCUCGUAAAACUCUGUUGUUAAAGAAGAACAUAUCUGAGAGUAACUGUUCAGGUAUUGACGGUAUUUAACCAGAAAGCCACGGCUAACUACGUGCCAGCAGCCGCGGUAAUACGUAGGUGGCAAGCGUUGUCCGGAUUUAUUGGGCGUAAAGCGAGCGCAGGCGGUUUUUUAAGUCUGAUGUGAAAGCCUUCGGCUCAACCGAAGAAGUGCAUCGGAAACUGGGAAACUUGAGUGCAGAAGAGGACAGUGGAACUCCAUGUGUAGCGGUGAAAUGCGUAGAUAUAUGGAAGAACACCAGUGGCGAAGGCGGCUGUCUGGUCUGUAACUGACGCUGAGGCUCGAAAGUAUGGGUAGCAAACAGGAUUAGAUACCCUGGUAGUCCAUACCGUAAACGAUGAAUGCUAAGUGUUGGAGGGUUUCCGCCCUUCAGUGCUGCAGCUAACGCAUUAAGCAUUCCGCCUGGGGAGUACGGCCGCAAGGCUGAAACUCAAAGGAAUUGACGGGGGCCCGCACAAGCGGUGGAGCAUGUGGUUUAAUUCGAAGCUACGCGAAGAACCUUACCAGGUCUUGACAUACUAUGCAAAUCUAAGAGAUUAGACGUUCCCUUCGGGGACAUGGAUACAGGUGGUGCAUGGUUGUCGUCAGCUCGUGUCGUGAGAUGUUGGGUUAAGUCCCGCAACGAGCGCAACCCUUAUUAUCAGUUGCCAGCAUUAAGUUGGGCACUCUGGUGAGACUGCCGGUGACAAACCGGAGGAAGGUGGGGAUGACGUCAAAUCAUCAUGCCCCUUAUGACCUGGGCUACACACGUGCUACAAUGGAUGGUACAACGAGUUGCGAACUCGCGAGAGUAAGCUAAUCUCUUAAAGCCAUUCUCAGUUCGGAUUGUAGGCUGCAACUCGCCUACAUGAAGUCGGAAUCGCUAGUAAUCGCGGAUCAGCAUGCCGCGGUGAAUACGUUCCCGGGCCUUGUACACACCGCCCGUCACACCAUGAGAGUUUGUAACACCCAAAGUCGGUGGGGUAACCUUUUAGGAACCAGCCGC